This 137-nucleotide ribosomal RNA is filed under the name Salmonella enterica subsp. enterica serovar Oslo. Its description in RNAcentral is "partial 16S ribosomal RNA". It matches the Rfam family "Bacterial small subunit ribosomal RNA", at positions 1397 to 1533 of the family's 1533-position model. The record is from RNAcentral. Lineage: Bacteria; Pseudomonadati; Pseudomonadota; Gammaproteobacteria; Enterobacterales; Enterobacteriaceae.
UCACACCAUGGGAGUGGGUUGCAAAAGAAGUAGGGAGCUUAACCUUCGGGAGGGCGCUUACCACUUUGUGAUUCAUGACUGGGGUGAAGUCGUAACAAGGUAACCGUAGGGUAACCUGCGGUUGUAUCACCUACUUA